CCCUUAGAUGUCCUGGGCCGCACGCGCGCUACACUGAUACAUGCAACGAGUUUAUAACCUUGGCCUGAAAGGUCUGGGUAAUCUUUUGAACGUGCAUCGUGAUAGGGAUAGAUUAUUGCAAUUGUUAAUCUUGAACGAGGAAUUCCUAGUAAACGCGAGUCAUCAGCUCGCAUUGAUUACGUCCCUGCCCUUUGUACACACCGCCCGUCGCACCUACCGAUUGAAUGGUUCGGUGAAGAUCUCGGACUUCGAUAUUUAUUCUUUAUUGAGUUUAUAUUGUGGGAAGUUAUCUAAACCUCAUCAUUUAGAGGAAGGUGAAGUCGUAACA
This 328-nucleotide ribosomal RNA is filed under the name uncultured eukaryote. RNAcentral's name for it is "partial 18S ribosomal RNA". It matches the Rfam family "Eukaryotic small subunit ribosomal RNA", at positions 1470 to 1796 of the family's 1831-position model. The record is from RNAcentral.